Molecule: ribosomal RNA, 422 nt
Filed under: uncultured eukaryote
Lineage: Eukaryota
Description: SSU rRNA
Rfam family: Eukaryotic small subunit ribosomal RNA
Source: RNAcentral
CAAUAGCGUAUAUUAAAGUUGUUGCGGUAAAAAAGCUCGUAGUUGGAUUUCUGUUGCGAAUGGCCGGUCUUCACUACGUGAAUGUAUCUGGUUCAAUCGUGGCAUCCUCAUAGGAAACGUUGCUGCGCUUCACUGCGUGGUGCGGUGCCUAUGACUUUUACUUUGAGGAAAUUAGAGUGUUCACGGCAGGCAAUCGCCCUGAAUAUGUUAGCAUGGAAUAAUAAUAUAGGAUCUUGGUUCUAUUUUGUUGGUUUCUAGAGCUAAGAUAAUGGUUAAUAGGAACAAUUGGGGGCAUUUGUAUUAACAUGUCAGAGGUGGAAUUCUUGGAUUAUGUUACGACAAACUACUGCGAAAGCAUUUGCCAAGGAUGUUUUCAUUGAUCAAGAACGAAAGUAAGGGGAUCGAAGACGAUUAGAUACCAU